This is a non-coding RNA of Odocoileus virginianus texanus, 759 nucleotides long. The record is from RefSeq and is a predicted model, not a curated record. Lineage: Eukaryota; Metazoa; Chordata; Mammalia; Artiodactyla; Cervidae.
GGCCCUUUGUGAGCCGUCAGGCGCGUGACAAGAGCGCCCCCGCGCUGGGACUUUGGACCUGGGUUUCUGAAGCUCCUUGAAGCUGAAAGUGUUUCAGUAUCAAGACAACCAGAGCAUCAGAAUCAUUACUUCUGAAAUUUAGAAAAUACCGAGCUGGAAGUUAAAGGAGUUCAGUGUACUGUCUAGGGUCACCAGUCCCACAGCAGAGCACAGGAGCAGCAGGCCAUCUAGCCACAAGAGUGCAGGGGUAGCAGGCCAUCUGGUCAGCUCCAUAACACACUCAGCUGGGUCUCCCUGCGCGGUUUUAUUCAGUAUUUAAUUCCUUCUGGAUGCUGGCACUGUGCUAGUCAGAAUGAGGGAGAGAAAUUUCAUGGUUGCCCAUCUACUUCAGGCCUAAGAAUAAAUGACCACGGGAGAGACUGAAAGCAUCUGAGAUUUCAAGGAAUAGAAAGGAAUCCAGUAAACAAUGGAGUAUGCCCUCAGGGAAGGGAGAGCAGGGAAAGCUGGGAAGCCAUGCUUCCAGGUUUCCAGUGUCAGGGUUCAACCAUGCUGACAUUGGGAUCAUGAACAUUUUCCAUUACCAACUCCUUGUGCCCCCUCGUGGCCACUUUGAGAAUCAUACUUUGCCUUUGCCCUGCCCUGCCCAAGGUCAGGCCCCUUGGCAAAGUGGUCUCUUCCAGAUGUAUCAUCUCAACAUUCCAGUUAUACCUGCAGAUCCAAUAUGCUUCCCACUGGUUAAUAAAAGAUCUUAGAACACCA